ACGACCUAACUAGAACAGGAUCUGUUCUAUAGGCUCGUACGUCUCUAUCCUUGUGAUCAAAGAAGACAGGAACCUCAAAACUGGUGGAUGAAGCAUGACCGUGUGAUCAGAGCGUGAUUAACAGCUUGGAUGGUCUGUGGACCGUCUGACGCAGUAGAUCAUUUCCACUCGGACUUCUGGCUGGGAUGGUCACACGGUUGUCUGACAGGUU
Molecule: small nucleolar RNA, 211 nt
Organism: Ziziphus jujuba (common jujube)
Lineage: Eukaryota; Viridiplantae; Streptophyta; Magnoliopsida; Rosales; Rhamnaceae
Product: small nucleolar RNA U3
Exons: 1
Source: RefSeq, a predicted model, not a curated record